RNAcentral lists this ribosomal RNA (552 nucleotides) under Salmonella enterica. RNAcentral's name for it is "partial 23S ribosomal RNA". It matches the Rfam family "Bacterial large subunit ribosomal RNA", at positions 711 to 1259 of the family's 2925-position model. RNAcentral also lists the same sequence under 3 other names. The record is from RNAcentral. Lineage: Bacteria; Pseudomonadati; Pseudomonadota; Gammaproteobacteria; Enterobacterales; Enterobacteriaceae.
AGACCCGAAACCCGGUGAUCUAGCCAUGGGCAGGUUGAAGGUUGGGUAACACUAACUGGAGGACCGAACCGACUAAUGUUGAAAAAUUAGCGGAUGACCUGUGGCUGGGGGUGAAAGGCCAAUCAAACCGGGAGAUAGCUGGUUCUCCCCGAAAGCUAUUUAGGUAGCGCCUCGUGAAUUCAUCUCCGGGGGUAGAGCACUGUUUCGGCUAGGGGGCCAUCCCGGCUUACCAACCCGAUGCAAACUGCGAAUACCGGAGAAUGUUAUCACGGGAGACACACGGCGGGUGCUAACGUCCGUCGUGAAGAGGGAAACAACCCAGACCGCCAGCUAAGGUCCCAAAGUCAUGGUUAAGUGGGAAACGAUGUGGGAAGGCCCAGACAGCCAGGAUGUUGGCUUAGAAGCAGCCAUCAUUUAAAGAAAGCGUAAUAGCUCACUGGUCGAGUCGGCCUGCGCGGAAGAUGUAACGGGGCUAAACCAUGCACCGAAGCUGCGGCAGCGACACUCAGGUGUUGUUGGGUAGGGGAGCGUUCUGUAAGCCUGUGAAGGUGG